Molecule: unclassified non-coding RNA, 466 nt
Filed under: Hevea brasiliensis (rubber tree)
Lineage: Eukaryota; Viridiplantae; Streptophyta; Magnoliopsida; Malpighiales; Euphorbiaceae
Source: RNAcentral
GCAAGCUAAAGGUUUGAAUAGAUUGUCUCUUGAAGGUACCGUAAUUGGUAUAGCUCCUAACCAGGGAAAUGGCUGCUCAGCAUAUGUUCAGUUUGAUGGCGGGGAAGUGUUUGAGUAUGCGUUGAAGUUGGCUGAUGCCAGAGGGCUUCAUCAGAAACGUGAGGAUAUGAGUUUUUCUUCAUCUUGCCCCUGGAUGGAUCUUGUGCAAAUUGGAGGCUGCUUACCUCAAAAGGCUUUGCUUUUUGGUCUUGAUGACAGUGGUAGAUUGCUUGUUGGUGAAAGGACAUUGUGCAACAAUUGCAGCAGUUUUUCUUUCUACUCGAAUUCUGCUGACCACUCUGUCACCCAUUUGAUUCUUUCAACUAAGCAGGAUUUGCUGUUUAUUGUCGAUAUUAGUGAUAUCCUGAAAGGAGAACUGGAGGUUAAGUAUGGGAACUUCCUGGCAGUUUUCAAGCACAGAAAAGGA